Molecule: long non-coding RNA, 824 nt
Filed under: Mus musculus (house mouse)
Lineage: Eukaryota; Metazoa; Chordata; Mammalia; Rodentia; Muridae
Description: alncRNA-EC76
Source: RNAcentral
GCACCACACCCAUACAUAGCAACUGUCGUUGUCGCAGGGCUUGAGAAAUCCUUCCAGAGGGGGAAAGAACAGAUUGUAAAUAUAGAUGUGCUAGUCAUCCGUCUACAAGCAGUCAUCAGCGAUGACUUGAAGGAAGCAAGACAGCCUGGAGGGCUGAGCACAGAGAUAUAAGAACAUGAACAUGCAGGACUUGGUCAAGAGGAGCUGCAAACAAAACUGAAAAGGGGCAAAGCCAUGGAGCACACAGCCCAUCUGUUCAAAGGGAACUGAGUCUGGACUCGGGAAAGUCUUCGCAGACCAAUACGAACUUCUUCUCUGUAAGGGCAGAGGCCCCCAAGCCACCAGGAGAGUGGUGGACAGGAUAAGAGGAAACACACACCUAAUGCAAAGAAAGCCCUUCUAGGAGUAGAAAGCCUGGCUCUCCAAGGAGCUGUCGUCUACUAAAGCAACAGGGUCUGCCACGCUCCAAACGCUCUUUCUGAGCAGGCCCCAGGCUUGGCGUCUCUGCACGGGAUUUCUCUCCUUGUCUCAAACUUGCAAACUUAGCACCAUCCCUUCUUUCAAGAUGAGAAAUGAAUUCAACGCGGACACGUGGCUUCCUGCCGCGGGCUUGCAGUGACAUAUAGAGAAUGCAGGGCUGAAUUCCAGAUUUAUCCAGAAGUGAACUAAGGCCUCUCCCAAGACAGGGUUUCUCUGUGUAGCCCUGACUGUCUUGGAACUCAUACCUAGAAAUGAAAGUUUUUCUGUGGAGUGGAGACAGCGUUGAUACUGGGGCCUCCCAGGUGGUGUGAAUUCAAGGGCUCAGUUGUUCUAACACUAAGGAG